Molecule: microRNA, 21 nt
Filed under: Macaca mulatta (Rhesus monkey)
Lineage: Eukaryota; Metazoa; Chordata; Mammalia; Primates; Cercopithecidae
Description: mml-miR-7170-3p
Source: miRBase by way of RNAcentral
UGGGGCCCUGGGCAGACCUCC